This 1623-nucleotide ribosomal RNA is filed under the name Betula nana (alpine birch). Its description in RNAcentral is "bacterial SSU rRNA". It matches the Rfam family "Bacterial small subunit ribosomal RNA". The record is from RNAcentral. Lineage: Eukaryota; Viridiplantae; Streptophyta; Magnoliopsida; Fagales; Betulaceae.
UGAGUUUGAUGUUGGCUCCGAAUGAACGCUGUCUAGAAGCUUUAACACAUGCUAAUCGAACGGUCAGAUUAAACAAAGUCUUUUAUAAAUAAUAAAAGAUUUAAUUUGAAAGUGGUGUACAGGUGAGUAUAAAAGAGGAAGACUACCCUAAAGUAAGGAAUAAAAUGCCUUAUAAAAAUAUAAAUAAGAAAGAUUAUAAUAAUCGCUUUAGGAUGAGCCUCUUCGGGGAGGUAGUAGGAGAGGUAAUUGCUUAACUAGCCUAAGAUCCGUAGUCGUAUCUGAGAGGAUGAUCGACCACAUUGGCUCUGAAACAACAGCCAAGUCUACCCAUAAGGGAAACCAGCAGUGAGGAAUAUUGGUCACUGACCGAAAGGUUGAACCAGCUAUCUAGAAGGGUGUAAACUAAUUAAGGAUAAAGCCCUAAAAAAGAGAGGAUAAUGACGUUAUCUUUUUGACAAGUCUCGACCAAAUCACGUGCCAGCAGUCGCGGUAAAACGUGGGAGGCAAGCGUUAUUGAUCUUAAAUGGGUCUAAAGGGUCCGUAAAACUGUAAAUUAAGCGAGUAUUUAAAUUACUAUCGAACUGAUUUACUAGAGUCUUAUAGAGGAACAGAGGAAUUGCAAGAGUAAGGAUGAAAUCUUUUGAUACUUGUAGGACCGCUAAUGGCGAAGGCAUCGUUCCAGGUAAAGACUGACGUUGAGGGACGUAGGCGUUGGGAGCGAAAAGGAUUAGAUACCCCUGUAGUCAACGCUGUAAACGAUGAGUGCUUAAGAUUAGUAAUAAUUAUUAUUCUUAUUUUUUAAUAAUUCUAAAUUAGUCUCGAAAUGAAGAUGUUAAGCACUUCACCUGGGGAGUACUGUCGCAAGGCUGAAACCCAAAACAUUAGACGGUCACGGAAACCAGCAGUGAAGCAUGUUAUUUAAUACGAUGAUCCGCGUACAACCUUACCACUUCUUGAAUGUCCUAUUUUUAUAGGCCUAUUUAAUUAAAUUUCUUUAAUAUUAAGAUCCGCGUACAACCUUACCACUUCUUGAAUGUCCUUUCCUGUCAAAAGGAAAGGCCUAUUUAACCUCUUCGGAAUAAAAAAAAGAGGUUAAAUUUGGAUAAAUACAACAGGCGUUGCAUGGCUGUCUUCAGUUCGUGUCGUGAGAUGUCAGGUUCAUUCCGCUAAACGAAUGAAACCCUUCUUUCUUAAUUUUAGAUAUAUUAAUAGCCGUUUUUUUUUAAUUCUAUUUUUAUUUCAUUAAGAUGAUUCUUGGAUAACGAGAAUAUAAUAGGGAUUAAGACAAGUCGUCAUGGCCUUUAUGAAGUGGGCUAUAGACGUGCCACAAGAGCCUUUACAAUGGGAUGCUAAGACGUGAGUCAGCGCUAAACCUUAAAAAAGGCUAUGUUCGGAUUGUAGUCUGCAACUCGACUACAUGAAGUAGGAAUUGCUAGUAAUCGUAAAUCAGGACGUUACGGUGAAGUCUUAAAUCUGUGAUGUACUAACUACUCGUCAAGCGCGGAAAGGUGCGUGGCCCCGAAGAGGUUAUCUUUUUAUUUAAAUUUAAAAAGAUGGUUUCGACUGGUCGGCGCUGAUUCGUGUUAAGUCGAAAUAAGGUAGGUGUAGGGGAACCUGUACCUG